UACGAAGGGGGCUAGCGUUGCUCGGAAUCACUGGGCGUAAAGGGUGCGUAGGCGGGUCUUUAAGUCAGGGGUGAAAUCCUGGAGCUCAACUCCAGAACUGCCUUUGAUACUGAAGAUCUUGAGUUCGGGAGAGGUGAGUGGAACUGCGAGUGUAGAGGUGAAAUUCGUAGAUAUUCGCAAGAACACCAGUGGCGAAGGCGGCUAACUGGUCCGGUUCUGACGCUGAGGCGCGAAAGCGUGGGGAGCAAACAGG
Molecule: ribosomal RNA, 253 nt
Filed under: uncultured bacterium
Lineage: Bacteria
Description: partial 16S ribosomal RNA
Rfam family: Bacterial small subunit ribosomal RNA
Source: RNAcentral